CCUACGGGAGGCAGCAGUGGGGAAUAUUGCACAAUGGGGGAAACCCUGAUGCAGCGACGCCGCGUGAGUGAAGAAGUAAUUCGGUAUGUAAAGCUCUAUCAGCAGGGAAGAAAAUGACGGUACCUGAGUAAGAAGCCCCGGCUAACUACGUGCCAGCAGCCGCGGUAAUACGUAGGGGGCAAGCGUUAUCCGGAUUUACUGGGUGUAAAGGGAGCGUAGACGGCAGUGCAAGUCUGGAGUGAAAGGCGGGGGCUCAACCCCCGGACUGCUCUUGAAACUGUACGGCUGGAGUGCAGGAGAGGUGAGUAGAAUUCCUAGUGUAGCGGUGAAAUGCGUAGAUAUUAGGAGGAACACCAGUGGCGAAGGCAGCUUACUGGACUGUAACUGACGUUGAGGCUCGAAAGCGUGGGGAGCAAACAGGAUUAGAUACCCUUGUAGUC
Molecule: ribosomal RNA, 440 nt
Filed under: uncultured bacterium
Lineage: Bacteria
Description: partial 16S ribosomal RNA
Rfam family: Bacterial small subunit ribosomal RNA
Source: RNAcentral